CUUUCUCCGCCGGCGACCGGCGCACGGGUGAGUAACACGUAUGCAACCUGCCCCUGUCAGGGGGACAACCCGCCGAAAGGCGGGCUAAACCCGCGUACAUGCCACCGGGGCAUCCCGGAGGCAGGAAAGGGCUUCGGCCGGACAGGGAUGGGCAUGCGGCGCAUUAGGCAGUAGGCGGGGUAACGGCCCACCUAACCGACGAUGCGUAGGGGUUCUGAGAGGAAGGUCCCCCACACUGGUACUGAGACACGGACCAGGCUCCUACGGAAGGCAGCAG
Molecule: ribosomal RNA, 277 nt
Filed under: uncultured bacterium
Lineage: Bacteria
Description: partial 16S ribosomal RNA
Rfam family: Bacterial small subunit ribosomal RNA
Source: RNAcentral